GUGCAUUGAAUCGGGACGCACAAUUUGGACCCUGGAACGAUCAUUGAAUCUGGACGCCUUCAGGAAAUUUCCUUUUAUUCGUUCUUUUUAUCUGGCAGGAAUUUAAACCAUUGAGCUGGCAGCUGGCAGCUGGCAGCUGGCAGCUGGCAAUGAUCGUAUGGCGGUCGAUUGGAAUGAUUGGAUACGUUCAUGCAUCAAAAAAUAUCGUUUUGAGCUAUUCCAUUUAGUGGUACAAAGAGGUCUUAAUUUAUAUGACUUUAUUAUCAUCCUUGUUGGACCGUAUUUCGUCCAUCC
RNAcentral lists this long non-coding RNA (294 nucleotides) under Elaeis guineensis (African oil palm). RNAcentral describes it as "long non-coding RNA (EGUI_LNC040059)". The record is from RNAcentral. Lineage: Eukaryota; Viridiplantae; Streptophyta; Magnoliopsida; Arecales; Arecaceae.